Triticum aestivum (bread wheat) is the source of this 2295-nucleotide long non-coding RNA. RefSeq lists it as uncharacterized. The record is from RefSeq and is a predicted model, not a curated record. Lineage: Eukaryota; Viridiplantae; Streptophyta; Magnoliopsida; Poales; Poaceae. The transcript has 2 exons.
CUUAAUUUCUUUCCCCUUGUCGCUCCUUCUUCCCCCUUCUCGUUCCUUUUUCCCCCAGCCGCCGCAAUGUUCCGCCCACCCUGGCAACACCGUCGUCGACCUGGCCCGUCCAGAUCGGCCGGCAAAGCGCUGCCACCCCCACCCUCUUCAUCAAGCAUGCCGCCUCCCUGCACCCCUAACCCAUGCCGCCCCUCCCGCACCCCGAGUCCUUGACCCACGCCGCCACCUAGUCCCCUCGACGGCCGGCACCCGCGCGCCCUCCGACCCAUGCCGCCACCCAGUCCCCAUCGGCGACGACCUACACCCACGCUUCUGACGUCUCACGCUGCCACCCAGUCCCCAUCGGUGAUGACCUACACCAGCAAUCCACGCCGCCGCCCGUCCCCAUCGAUCCACUUUGCAACCAUGCCCCCACCCAGAACCGCCGCCCCAUUCCUCGAGCACGACGCUGCCUCAGCCCCCUCACCACCCAUGUCGCUGUCCCAAUCCCCCACCACGAAACCUCCCCAUUCCCUUCGCCAUUGCCGCCUCUGCUUCACAUCGCAUAGUAGCACGACGUCUUGUGUCAAAGGAGAAGGUCCAAGUGAAGUGUUUGAGUUUUUGUCAAACCAAUAGCAACAUCCUCAGAGUGAGUCGCAGCUACAGGCCGCCCUUGAGCUCUGUUCAUACUUUUUUUAUUGUGUUGUGACAUGCAGGUUUUUGUUGUUGUGUUGAUUUAUUAAAUUUGGCUAUGAGUCUAACUGGAUCUGAUAGGUAAGAGGCUCAAGCUGAACCCCUGACCCUCUUAUGUCUCUCCAUGUGCCUUCUUAUCCGGUGAAGGAUACACCAGCGCCAGCCACGUACUGGUCAAGAUCGAUGGUUAGUGGCCCUGCUCUGCCCGCAUAUAGCCUUAAUGGGGAUGCUGUCUAUGUUAGCUUAGUGCAGAAUUAGAUAAGGCCAGGUACUUUACUAAAUCGUUGUCCUAUGCCACAUUGCUAAAUACAGUAAUUAUUUGGGAAGUUUACAUCCACUGAAUUUCUAUCUUGGCAAAAGCAGAUCCUGAUUUGGUGCUGAUUUUUGCCAUCUGCAACUCCUUUUUUUAGUUAUAAUUAUGUUGAGAACUAGUAAGAUUCACACAAACAUCUCAUUUUGUAUAAUUUAAUUUAUCCUGAGAGAUAGGCUUUAUAGUACCUUAUUUCCUAAUAGCUGCAUAAAUAACCCAAUAAGCCUUCAGUCCUACAUGAGUUUUCAGUUACGUUUGUAAUUGCCUCUUUUGCUCUGAUUUUUGGUUCUCAGCUAGCCAUAGUGAUAUCAUCAGAGACGUGUUUUAGGUAUGAUAGCAGGGGUGUUUGACAUAUGUGCUCGGCCAGGGAAUCAUUCCAGAAUGUACCAUAUGUCAAACACCCCUGCUAUCAUACCUAAAAAAUAGUAUAGGACGGACUGAAAAAUGAAAAGAAAAGAAGAUAUGCGCCUAGCGGUAAAUACUUGUUUGUUUGAUUGCCAUAUCUAAUUAACAUAUUCAUGCCCAGCUUCCUGGCAUAUGUAAUUCCGGUUAUAUUUUAGCGUGGCUUCAACAAGAACAACCUCGCUGAUUACGUUGAUCAACAAGAGUACGCCUAAAACAUGACGCUGGCUAUUAUUCUUCUAAUAUUUAUCUUUCAUAUCCGUCCUUGUGUUGAUCAAUUCCUGUGUGCUCUAAUUAGUGCUAGUUCAAACUCAUUACCUAGAGAUAUCAUAAAUCAUUCCAAACAGGCCCUCUGUGGUUUUUUGUUGGGUGUACGAAUUGAAGCUAAAGAUGAAGUUGCAGUUAAUGGUCAUCCAUCUUGCUGCGAUUUCAACAUUAUCUCUGUUUUAUUUUGACCCUUUUAUUUUUUGGCAGUAAUGUUAGUCGUGAGAUAAGUGGCACCACUAAGUCAUAGGGAACUUGCUCUGCUUUUAUUUUGACCCUUGUGGAAUUCGGACCUCCUCUUUCUUGCAAGUAGUUGUCCAAAUGGAUUUGUGGAACAUGUGUUCUUCCGAGCUGAUCUAAUUGGCCGCUUCUUUUUUUACAGGUCAUCGGUAUAAUUCUUUUGCAUCCACAAAUUUGAAGAGGUGUGUUUUGUGAGCUAAAAGGAUGUUCUGUUGGGUUCUGUUUCUCUGUGUUCUAUUUCUAUUAACUGAAACAAGAUGUUAUAUUUGGCGCUUUUGUCUAUGGUGCAAUAACCUACAAAUGUAUGCCUAUGUGUGCAUGGGCAUACAUGAAGGAUCGUUGUGUUGUAAUACUGUACUUGUGAACCUAUAUAUGCUUGUAUACAUCAUGGAUUGUUGAGAUACAUA